CCUACGGGCGGCAGCAGUAGGGAAUAUUGCUCAAUGGGGGAAACCCUGAAGCAGCAACGCCGCGUGGAGGAUGAAUGUUUUCGGAUUGUAAACUCCUUUUGUUAGAGAAGAUAAUGACGGUAUCUAACGAAUAAGCACCGUCUAAUUCCGUGCCAGCAGCCGCGGUAAGACGGAGGGUGCAAGCGUUACUCGGAAUCACUGGGCGUAAAGAGCGCGUAGGCGGGAUAGCAAGUCAGAUGUGAAAUCCUAUGGCUUAACCAUAGAACUGCAUUUGAAACUGUUAUUCUAGAGUAUAGGAGAGGUAGGUGGAAUUCUUGGUGUAGGGGUAAAAUCCGUAGAGAUCAAGAAGAAUACUCAUUGCGAAGGCGACCUGCUAGAACGUAACUGACACUGAUGCGCGAAAGCGUGGGGAGCAAACAGGAUUAGAUACCCGUGUAGUC
This 440-nucleotide ribosomal RNA is filed under the name uncultured bacterium. RNAcentral's name for it is "partial 16S ribosomal RNA". It matches the Rfam family "Bacterial small subunit ribosomal RNA", at positions 338 to 795 of the family's 1533-position model. The record is from RNAcentral.